GCCUGGCUGGCUCAGUCGAUAGAGCAUGCAAUUCUUGAUCUUAGGGUUAUGAGUUCGAGCCCCAUGUUGGGUG
This 73-nucleotide transfer RNA is filed under the name Canis lupus familiaris (dog). It matches the Rfam family "tRNA". From Rfam's summary of the family: Transfer RNA (tRNA) molecules are approximately 80 nucleotides in length. Lineage: Eukaryota; Metazoa; Chordata; Mammalia; Carnivora; Canidae. RNAcentral also lists the same sequence under 3 other names. The record is from Rfam by way of RNAcentral.